This 548-nucleotide ribosomal RNA is filed under the name uncultured bacterium. RNAcentral describes it as "bacterial SSU rRNA". It matches the Rfam family "Bacterial small subunit ribosomal RNA", at positions 355 to 896 of the family's 1533-position model. The record is from RNAcentral.
UAGGGAAUCUUCCGCAAUGGGCGAAAGCCUGACGGGGCAACGCCGCGUGAGUGAAGAAGGAUUUCGGUUCGUAAAGCUCUGUUGUUAGGGAAGAAUGAUUGUGUAGUAACUAUACACAGUAGAGACGGUACCUAACCAGAAAGCCACGGCUAACUACGUGCCAGCAGCCGCGGUAAUACGUAGGUGGCAAGCGUUGUCCGGAAUUAUUGGGCGUAAAGCGCGCGCAGGUGGUUUAAUAAGUCUGAUGUGAAAGCCCACGGCUCAACCGUGGAGGGUCAUUGGAAACUGUUAAACUUGAGUGCAGGAGAGAAAAGUGGAAUUCCUAGUGUAGCGGUGAAAUGCGUAGAGAUUAGGAGGAACACCAGUGGCGAAGGCGGCUUUUUGGCCUGUAACUGACACUGAGGCGCGAAAGCGUGGGGAGCAAACAGGAUUAGAUACCCUGGUAGUCCACGCCGUAAACGAUGAGUGCUAAGUGUUGGUCUCAUAAGAGAUCAGUGCUGCAGCUAACGCAUUAAGCACUCCGCCUGGGGAGUACGACCGCAAGGUUG